UAAUACGGAGGGUGCAAGCGUUAUCCGGAUUUACUGGGUUUAAAGGGUGUGUAGGCGGGCUUUUAAGUCAGUGGUGAAAUCUCCGGGCUCAACCUGGAAACUGCCAUUGAUACUAUUAGUCUUGAAUUUUGUUGAGGUAGGCGGAAUAAGUCAUGUAGCGGUGAAAUGCAUAGAUAUGACUUAGAACACCAAUUGCGAAGGCAGCUUGCUAAACAAAUAUUGACGCUGAGGCACGAAAGCGUGGGGAUCAAACAGG
Molecule: ribosomal RNA, 256 nt
Filed under: uncultured archaeon
Lineage: Archaea
Description: partial 16S ribosomal RNA
Rfam family: Bacterial small subunit ribosomal RNA
Source: RNAcentral